RNAcentral lists this ribosomal RNA (497 nucleotides) under uncultured bacterium. RNAcentral's name for it is "partial 16S ribosomal RNA". It matches the Rfam family "Bacterial small subunit ribosomal RNA", at positions 28 to 507 of the family's 1533-position model. The record is from RNAcentral.
GAUGAACGCUGGCGGCGUGCCUAAUACAUGCAAGUCGAGCGAACAGACGAGGAGCUUGCUCCUCUGACGUUUGCGGCGGACGGGUGAGUAACACGUGGAUAACCUACCUAUAAGACUGGGAUAACUUCGGGAAACCGGAGCUAAUACCGGAUAAUAUAUUGAACCGCAUGGUUCAAUAGUGAAAGACGGUUUUGCUGUCACUUAUAGAUGGAUCCGCGCCACAUUAGCUAGUUGGUAAGGUAACGGCUUACCAAGGCAACGAUGCGUAGCCGACCUGAGAGGGUGAUCGGCCACACUGGAACUGAGACACGGUCCAGACUCCUACGGGAGGCAGCAGUAGGGAAUCUUCCGCAAUGGGCGAAAGCUUGACGGAGCAACGCCGCGUGAGUGAUGAAGGUCUUCGGAUCGUAAAACUCUGUUAUUAGGGAAGAACAAAUGUGUAAGUAACUAUGCACGUCUUGACGGUACCUAAUCAGAAAGCCACGGCUAACUACGUG